GGCGGGUGGGGGGUGGUGCCCAGGGCGAUGGGACAGUUUUCCUCCAGGAAGGUGGGGGCUAGGGCUGGGAGGCGACAUUGGGCGGUCAGGCUUCUGAGACAUUUUGAGGACCCAGUCACCAAUAUUUCCUGACACGUGGGACGUCCGCUUGGAGGGCCUCACAGUUGACUCCCAGGCUAUGGUCUAAGCAGCUGGGAGGAAGGGGUGCCCGGGGUUAGAGCUGGGGGUCUCUCUGGGCCGUGUUAAGCUUGGCUCGUCUGUUGGACACCCAGCAGAGGUGCUGAGUGAAGUCCGGGGCUCAGGAGGGCGCUCUGGGUUGGCGAUCUUGACGAUGGGGGCCGUGGAGAAAGGGACACAGGAAUGGCAUCCCACCAUUUCUGGCCAAGGGGAGCGUUCUGAGAAGCAGCUACCUCAGUCUUGAGAGAAACCAGGGGCUCAAUGUUCUCGCUCUUUCUUGCUCAGUGUGAACAAGGAAGCCCACGCUGCUUCUGGCAGCGGUCUUGUCCCCACGAGGGGCUCUGCUGAAGGAAGACGUCAAGGGGAGAGCGGGAUCCUUGAUUGGACGCAAGCAUGACCUCUGCACUUCCCAGCAGAAGCCCUCAUUGUGGAAGCUGGCCCUGCAGAGUUUCCUUCCCUGGAGCUAACAGUGUCCAGCCAAGACCGUCAGCAGGCAGACCACUGGGAUGUUGGGCGGAAGGAAGCCAGACCCGCGGCCCCACGCUCUGACCCUGCCGUUGGACGGUAUCCCGUCUCUGUCCGUCUGCACACCACGGGAAACUGUCUUCACCGCCGCUGCCCCGGGAACGGACAGUUUCCAGCCAGAGGGCCAGGAAAACAAGGCCUGCUCACACCUGGGAUUUUAGGUUGUUUCCAGUGUUUGUGGUAUCAGUUGUGCCUCCCGGAGCCCCUCGCGCCCGCGACCGCUCUGCCACCAGGCCAUUUUCUUAGGCCAGGUGCCCAGACAUGGGACUGCAGGGUCGGGUCACAGCCACGUCCACGGCUCCGGGUGCCAAGUGGCUGUCAGCAUCACGGCAGCCCCCUCCCGCCCGGCGCCUCCCCACCCCCAGCGGACAUGUCCCCUGGCAGCGCAGCCCAGUGCCCUCCGCGGGCUGGGCUGCGUUGUCAUCCCUCCCGCCUGUGUCGGUCAGCGGUUUUCCGAGGAGAGAACUGGGGCAGAGGCCCAGCAGAUAAACGUUGUUUAAAAUUUGGCUGAUAUUCUUGUUCUAUGCAGAUAGAAAGUAGGGAACCCAAUCGUAACCCACCACAGAAGGACUCCGUUGGUCCGGGUCUUCAGGUUUUUAUUCUAUGUUUUAAAUUUCUGUCAAAUUAGUUUUUUUUUUAACUUAAAGAAUGUGAG
This 1357-nucleotide long non-coding RNA is filed under the name Ailuropoda melanoleuca (giant panda). RNAcentral describes it as "lncRNA (ENSAMEG00000027141.1)". Lineage: Eukaryota; Metazoa; Chordata; Mammalia; Carnivora; Ursidae. The record is from RNAcentral.